AGCGGGGGAUAACUAUUGGAAACGAUAGCUAAUACCGCAUAAAAGUCGAUAUCGCAUGAUGUUGAUUUGAAAGGUGCAAUUGCAUCACUAAGAGAUGGACCUGCGUUGUAUUAGCUAGUUGGUGAGGUAACGGCUCACCAAGGCGACGAUACAUAGCCGACCUGAGAGGGUGAUCGGCCACACUGGGACUGAGACACGGCCCAGACUCCUACGGGAGGCAGCAGUAGGGAAUCUUCGGCAAUGGGGGCAACCCUGACCGAGCAACGCCGCGUGAGUGAAGAAGGUUUUCGGAUCGUAAAGCUCUGUUGUAAGAGAAGAACGAGUGUGAGAGUGGAAAGUUCACACUGUGACGGUAACUUACCAGAAAGGGACGGCUAACUACGUGCCAGCAGCCGCGGUAAUACGUAGGUCCCGAGCGUUAUCCGGAUUUAUUGGGCGUAAAGCGAGCGCAGGCGGUUAGAUAAGUCUGAAGUUAAAGGCUGUGGCUUAACCAUAGUACGCUUUGGAAACUGUUUAACUUGAGUGCAGAAGGGGAGAGUGGAAUUCCAUGUGUAGCGGUGAAAUGCGUAGAUAUAUGGAGGAACACCGGUGGCGAAAGCGGCUCUCUGGUCUGUAA
This 616-nucleotide ribosomal RNA is filed under the name uncultured Bacilli bacterium. RNAcentral describes it as "bacterial SSU rRNA". It matches the Rfam family "Bacterial small subunit ribosomal RNA", at positions 135 to 739 of the family's 1533-position model. The record is from RNAcentral. Lineage: Bacteria; Bacillati; Bacillota; Bacilli.